UGACAUAUAUGUAUUAUAUAAGGAGAUCAUAAGUCACAUAAACAUUUUAUUGAAAGAAGAAAAAAGUUGGAAGAUGGAAGAAAGGAAAGAUGGUAGGUAGUCCUUCAUCCAAUAAAGGUGGAAGAAGGAGUGUAAAAGAAAAAGAAGAAAGAAACAUUGGAAUAUGUGACUGGCAGCGGGGAUGAUAUCAAGCCUUAAUCGGGAUUACAGAUAAUAAAAAACCUGUCAAUCAAUCUACUGAUGGAAAAAUCCCUGGAGUGGGUAAGUGGGGAAAUUUUGCCAUAGAAGUCAAUGAUAAUGCAACUACCAGCUUGGUCAGGAUUCAACCCCUGAAGGCGGGAGCAGCAAGAAGAAGAGUUUUCCCCAUUCAACAGACUGCGACACGCAGUAUACAACCCAGUUGUAUUAUUUAUAGGACAAUCUUGAGACCUCACCAUUGAGAGUGAUAGGAGACUGAGAGAGAGGAAGACUGCCAAAACAUAUUUCAUCAAACCCAUUCUCACAACACUACUUCCUUUCUUUUCUUUUUUAUUCUCAAUCAUUUACAACUCAACACCAAACCCUAUUUAUAGCCCACAAACUUCUGCUUUUCCUCUUCGUCAUUUAUUUAUGCUGUAAAAUUCUUCAAUUAACUUUAUUUGAAAGUCUCACGCCUCUUUGAGAAAAAUAAACUAUUUGUGGUGCUUCUUUAUUGUCUUACUAAGUGCGUGUGACUAUUAAUAGAUUUCGGCAUCGCAUGCUCGAGUACCUAUGCCAACUUUAGAAAUCCAAUUUGUGAGACACACCUUACGCACAUUAAUAGUUUGGCCUAAAACAUUGAUCAUGCCAUACUUUAACCUACCACAAGUACUAUAUUAUUAUUCUUGGUAUUUUUUUUAUGUAACAUUUUAUAAAUAAAUGAUCCAAACUUUAAUUUAUGUAGCUUUAGUGUCAGUUGUAACAUUUUGUGUUUUAUAAUUUUGGUUUUGAAUCUAUGUGGAAACUUUCUAAAUUGUUCUAGAGCAUUUUCUAUUAUUAGAAGAUACUGUUUAUAAUUUCUCAUGCUUACAAAAUAUAGUGAUUAAAUUAAAAUUUAAUUUGAAUCAUACAACCUUUAACAUGAAUAUUUAGUGUAGAAGCGCUGACCAAAUAAUGUUAAACAAUCAUUAUUUAUAGGUUUAAUGGUUUGGCAAAUCCUCUUUUUUUAUCCAGAAUUUUAAAUAGGUUUUCUAUUUAUUUAGUGUCUUAAUUAAAUCCUUAUUUUUUAAAAAUUGAAACAAAUAAAAAUUUGCCGUCAAAUUGGACAAACGCUGUUUAAGAGACUCUUACGUGACAUGCUGAUAGUUCGUGUCGCCUAAGCUAAAUAUUCUCAUUUGGACGAGAUAUGCAUUGGAACAUUUUUCCUUUAAGCUAAAACUAAGUUGUCUCGGCAAGAUAAGCACUAUAACAUUCUUUUCACUUUUGAACAACUUAUAUCCAUGUCAUCAACACCAAGAAUUACUUUCUUACCCUUAAACUCUUCCUGAACCUCUCUCAGUUUAGAAAAUGUAGAAGAAAGAUUUAAUAUAGAUUCAAGUUUACCCAUGUGAAUGCCUAUAGGAAAAAUUUUAAUAAAAAUAGUGCGGCCAAAGUCAUCAAGCCCUAUAUGUCCUCGCUUAGAUUCACAGUCCAGACCUAGCAUUCUACUGCAGCAAGAAAGAAAGUGGCGAGCAUAAUCAAAUCUAUGAAAGCCAAUUAAAUCAGAGUUCAACAAACCCCUCAAAAUUUCAUCCCGUACUGGUAAAGUUCGGUAUAUUUCAGAAGAAGGGAAAGGAUUAUGCAGAAAGAAUCCAAGCUUAACCUGAUUAUACCGCUUCCUCAAGAAAGUAGGCAAAACCAUUAAGUGAUAGUCAUGAACCCAAACAAAAUCAUCAUCGAGAUUAAUUACUUCCACGACCUUGUCUGCAAAUAUUUUGUUUGCAGAAACAUAGGCCUCUGCCAAAGUAUUCUAUCUAAGUGAUCACCAUGAUCUGGGCAUAUGGGUAACAUAUGAUGAAAGAAAGGCCAAAGUUGCUGCUUACAGAAGGCAAGGUAGAACUUCAUCUUUUAAUUGUAAUAAAAUUCAAUCCUCAUCCCAAUUGAAGAACCAUUUAGUAGUUUCCAUAUCUCUUUCAGCCUGCAAUGGCAACAUGUUUGCCACAAUGAUUUUCCGCUCCCUAAACCCAGAAGAGCUAACAUAUGAAUCACCAUCAUUACAACCAAAUAAUUCCAGGAACGGUCAUAACCCUUGGAAGAGCUCUUGGAGUGUGAGGAAUAUCAAACAAGUCCCGUUAGCCAAGUCUAACAUAUUAACCUAUGAUCUUGAAGCCAUGAAUGGACUUUCUACAAUUCUUUCUAUCAUUUCUGCUAUAAACGAUAAUAAAUAUGAAUAUCAAGCAAGAUUCCAAAUAAUUAUCCUACAAAUAAUAUAACAACGGCCUCCAAGUAAAUUAAAAUGAAAAAGACGACAUUCUAUGGCAUUCGUCAAAUAUUUGUCCAUUAAAAAAUUGUUCAAAAAUGAAAAGAAUGUUCUAGUUUUUAUCUCGCUCAGACAACUUCGUUUUAGUUUAAGUGAAAAGGUUCCACUGCAUAUCUCGUCCAGGCGAGGUUCCACUACAUAUCUCGUCCAGACAAAAAUGUUUAGCUUAGAUAAAAAUAGUGUUAGCAUGUCACAUAAGAACCUCUUAAACGAUUUUUGUCUAAUUUAACGAUAAAUCUCUAUUUGAUCCAGUUAAGACACCAAAUAAAUAAAAAUCCUAUUUGCGAUUCUGAAAAAAAAAUAAAAAUCUGUUGAAACAUUAUACCUGUGGCGUGUGCUACAUGCCAGUUUCAUAAUGAAUUUUAGUACGGUAAUAUUUAGUGCAACACGUUACAUUGAAACCAAUCAUUAAUUUAUUUAAAAAGUGAUUCCUUUCUAUGAAUGGUAAUGUACAUUGAAACUCUAUGAAGUAGUGUAGGUGGCCUGCUUCAAUUAAAAAAAAUUGCUGACUAAUUUUUCAACUCAUUUCACAUAACAUUUUACUCACGUUUGCAAAUCAAUAAUGAAAAUAAAAAAUAUUCAUAAUUUUAUUAAAUACAAACAUGUUAAAAAUUUCAUAACAGUUAACUAAAUCAAUAAUGAAAAAUAAAUUUUAAGUAAUUAAAACUGCCAAAAAUACAAAGACCCUUUUGCAAUAAAACUUAAUUAAUCACAAAAUGAACACAAUAUUUAUAUUUUUGGGCACAUCAUAAAUUAUAGAUACAUUUUAAAACAAAUUUUUAUAACAUAAAAUAUUGGGGCCAGCCUAUUGUGCUAUAUGGUUGACUCGCCCAGGCUACAGAUUAUAUGAAAGAGACUAAACGAAGUAACAAACCAAAAUACUUUAGAUUGCCUCACUUUAUAUAUAUAUAUAUAUAUAUAUAUAUAUAUAUAUAUAUAUAUGGGGUUUGCUAACUUGCGUAUGCCUGUUUUUCAGUUGGUACAUUUUAGCAAUGUGUACCGGGUUUCAGUAGACAAAAAUACCCUUAUAUCAUGAAUUCUAAGUNNNNNNNNNNNNNNNNNNNNNNNNNNNNNNNNNNNNNNNNNNNNNNNNNNNNNNNNNNNNNNNNNNNNNNNNNNNNNNNNNNNNNNNNNNNNNNNNNNNNNNNNNNNNNNNNNNNNNNNNNNNNNNNNNNNNNNNNNNNNNNNNNNNNNNNNNNNNNNNNNNNNNNNNNNNNNNNNNNNNNNNNNNNNNNNNNNNNNNNNNNNNNNNNNNNNNNNNNNNNNNNNNNNNNNNNNNNNNNNNNNNNNNNNNNNNNNNNNNNNNNNNNNNNNNNNNNNNNNNNNNNNNNNNNNNNNNNNNNNNNNNNNNNNNNNNNNNNNNNNNNNNNNNNNNNNNNNNNNNNNNNNNNNNNNNNNNNNNNNNNNNNNNNNNNNNNNNNNNNNNNNNNNNNNNNNNNNNNNNNNNNNNNNNNNNNNNNNNNNNNNNNNNNNNNNNNNNNNNNNNNNNNNNNNNNNNNNNNNNNNNNNNNNNNNNNNNNNNNNNNNNNNNNNNNNNNNNNNNNNNNNNNNNNNNNNNNNNNNNNNNNNNNNNNNNNNNNNNNNNNNNNNNNNNNNNNNNNNNNNNNNNNNNNNNNNNNNNNNNNNNNNNNNNNNNNNNNNNNNNNNNNNNNNNNNNNNNNNNNNNNNNNAACUUUUUUCGAAAGGUGAAUAUGACUCAACUCUUUACAAAAGUAAAUCGUUUAAUAAUGAAUGUUUUUUUAGUUGGGGCUAGUGCAAAGAUGACAGAGAAAAAUGUUUGAGUGAGAGAGAUGAAGGAGAAAUGGUUGAGAGGAAUGAAGGAGGUGGGUAAGGGUUUGGGGUUUUCCUUUUUUAGUUUUGAGAAUGAAAAUUAUUAAAAUAAGACAAGUGUUUCUUAUCUUUUUCAAUUGGAGCUAGAGUAGGGAUGACAGAGAAAAGAAAAUGUUGGAGUGAAAGAGAUGAAAGAGAAAUGGUUGAGAAGAAUGAGAAAGAUGGGUAAGGGUUUGGAGGUUUCUUUUUUUAUUUUUUUAAUUUUGAGAAUGAAAAUUAUUAAAAUACCCUUAACCUUAAAACUUAGAAUUCAUGAUAUAUAAGGAUAUUUUUGUCUACUGAAACCCGGUACACAUUGCUAAAAUGUACCAACUGAAAAACAGGCGUACGCAAGUUAGCAAACCCCUAUAUAUAUAUAUAUAUAUAUAUAACAUUUAAAAAGUGAUAUUCUAACGUUUUAAACCUCUUUGACAUCUGAAACUAUGACAUCAUAGGUGAAUACAUUUUCAAUUUUGUGCCAAAUUUUUUUAAAAAAAUUUACUCAAUAUGAUAUUGGAAAUUGAGAAUUUCGAUGUCUAAUGAACAUAUGACAUUGGAAAAAUAUAAAUUUUCACGUUUAAAUUGAACAUCUAUGUAUAAAAAUGUCCUACAUCAAUUUUAAUGUUGACUUUUUCCUAUUUUAAUGUUAAGGUCAAAAUUUUUUUGUACUAAGUAUACUAAAAUAUCACUGAGAUAUUAUUGUUAUGGUUAUUUAUUUUAUUAUUAAUUAAAAAAUAUAUUUUUAGACUUUUAUGAAUAUAAUUAUGGACAUUUUAAUACUCAGUCUACUUGGCUUCGUGAAUUAAAAUCUUGUUAUAAUGAAAAUUUUACAAUGGCUUGAAAAUACGUUCCUUAUCUUUUGGUUUCUCCAUCCCUCACCAUAAAGCGUCUCAUCACAAAGCGUGUUAUUGAACGUCUUAAUUUGAUAUUAUGUGCUGGCAAUUUUUUUGUAGUAAUGGUGUAUUUUUAUUAAAAAUAUCCUCAAAUCAUCCACAAGAUUCCAAAAUGACUCAUUCCCACGUAUCAUCAUUUUCACUUAUUUUCAAAUACGUUAAAAUGAACAGAAAUUUAUCAAUUUAUCCACUUAUUUUCAAAUACGACAAGUAUUUCAAAUUUAUCCAUUUCAAAUACUUUAUAAUUUUUUUAGAAAAUAUUUGUAAUAGAUGUAAAGAUGGUAUGUUUGUGUAUAUAUAAUGUAAUAUUUGAAAAAUUGUUAAAAAACUUAAUAUAUGAUUUUUUACAAAUAUUGAUUCACGUGAAAUCAAACAUCAAUUAUGUUAAGGUUUAAUGUUUCAAUGAUCUCUAUUUUCGUCUAAAAUUUUAAAUAAGUCUCUUGUUUCUUUUGUCUCAAAAGAUUCUUAUUUUUGUUAAUUUUUAUACAAAUAAAUCCUUUCUGUCAAUUAGUGUGUGAGGUGAUUGGGUGACACUGCAGUUUUAAUAUAAGUGUCAAUAAAAAUUUGUGUGAAAUUUGAUUUUUUAAAAUUUAAAAUUAAAGAAUAAAGUAAAUAUAUUAUACUUUGGGUUGAAGUUAAUUAAAGAAAGAGAAAAGUUGGAAAAUGGUAUUCUUCUUUUUUUCUGAAAGCUCCAUUGUAUAUGCAAUUUUAGAAAUCAAAAUCAAAUUUUUGUGACAAUUUUGUACUAAGAGUUUUAUUUAAAUAUUUGGACAUAAGCAUUUUUUACGAAGGUAAAUUAUUUAAUCUAGAUUUGCUGUUUGGAAAAAGUUAGAAUAAAUUGAAUAAAAAAAUAUAAUUGGUUUGGUGAUUGAUAUUGUAAUUGAAAAGACGUGAUAGUAGAAAGUAAAAGAAGAAGAAGAAAGCAAAAACUUAUAUAUAUAUAUAUAUAUAUAUAUAUAUAUAUAUAUAUAUAUAUAUAUAUAUUAUAUAAGGACAUCAUAAAAGAAGGAGAGAAGAAGUAAAUGAGAAGUCACAUACACAUUUUAUUUAAAAUAAGAAAAAGGUUGAAGAUGGAAGAAAGGAAAGAUGAUAAGUAGUCCUUAAUUGGUGAGUCCACAGACAUUAACAAUUUCGUCUAUAAAUCUAUUGACCGGCGGUGCCAGGAUAUAUUCCUUGCCAAUGCAAUUAGCAAUUUGGUGACGACUCCACUGUUCGAUGAGGAACGUUUUUUGUGAACUCUCACCAGAGUUUUUUCGACUUUUAGAGUCUGUCGCUUGAUGAGAAAUGUUCUUUGUAAACUCUUACUGGAGCCUCUUCGACCUAGGGAAUGAUUCCAAGUGAACUCCUAGAGUUUUCCGCUAGGUGAGGAACGUUCUUCGUGAACUCUCAUCGGAGCCUCUUCGACCUAGGGAACGAUUCCAAGUGAACUCCUAGUGUCCGCCGCUCGGUGAAGAACGUUCUUCAUGAACUCUCACCUGAGCCUCUUCAACCUAGGGAACGAUUCCAAGUGAACUCCUAGAGUCCGCCGCUUGGUGAGGAACGUUCUUCGUGAACUCUCCCUUAAGUCUCUUCGGCGUAGGGAACAUUCUAAGUGAACUCGUAGAGUCUACCGCUCGGUGAGGAACGUUCUUCGCGACUCUCACUUGAGUCUCUUCGGCCUAGGGAACAUUCUAACUGAACUUCUAGACUUCGCCGCUCGGUGAAGAAUUCUUUGUGAACUCUCACUUGAGUCUCUUCGACACAGGGAACGUGAACGUUUUAAGUGAACUCUUAGAGUCUGUCGCUCGGUGAAAAAAAGAAUGAAGACUGAAUCAACUUAUCAAUGGGGUUAGUGGAUCGGUCGAGGCAACCGCUUUAGGGAAUUAAAGACUAGUUAAUAGUGCAUCGGUCAUUUAUGGGCAUUUAAGAGGUAUAUUAUCAAACAUUAAUGGUUUGAUUGUCAUAUCAAAUAUGAAUAUAAGGCAUUAAUGAUUUGAUUCUCGUAUCAAAUAUGAAUAUACUCAAAUAUGAAAAUAAAACAUUAAUGAUUUGAUUGUCAUAUGAAAUAUGAAUAUAUAUCAUUAAUGGUUUGAUUGUCAUAUCAUAUACAAUAUUAAUGGUUAAUUAAUAGGNUUGAUUGCUAUAAGUCCUAUAAAUAUAUCAUUAAUGUCCAAACACAUUUUUUCUAUCCUAACUCAAAUUGACACUUCUUUAAGAAACAUAUCUUCCUUGAGUGUCAGAAUAUCUUCUAUAUAUUAACAAAACAACCGAUCCGAGUGAAUUCACGUUCUUGAAGUAGAUUGGACAAUCAAAAUAUAGAACAACAAUCGAUUAAAGUGAAUUCACGUUCUUGAAGUAAAUUAGACAAUCAAAAUAUAAAAACAUAACGAAAAGCACAACCGAUUCUCGACCCCUCUCAAUCCAAAUAUUAGUAAAUAUAUAUUUUCAUUGAAAAUACCUUCUAAUCGUCNCACUUGAGACAAGAUUAAAAAAUGACUCAUUUUCAAAUGAUUCAUUUAUCCACGCAUCUGUCUGCGACUUUUGCAAAUAGUGAUUCACGUGUAAACAAACACGAAUAUUUUCUAUAGAAGAGUUGACCUAAUGUUAAACAUUCAUGAAUUGUAUUGUGUGGNGUCUGCUACCUGCGAGUUUGAUAAUGAAUGAAUCGCUUUUUGGUACGGUAAUAUAUAGUACAAGACGUUACAUUGAAACCAUCCAUUAUAAUUGGAUUAAAAACUGAUUCCUUCUCAAUCUGUUAGNNNNNNNNNNNNNNNNNNNNUUUUUUUUUUAACUUAACAAACAAAUUCAUUCAAUAAUCCUAUAAGGCAUAGAUUAAUGGAUUUUAUACAUACAUAUAAAAUAAUUCACCAAUGUUGGAGCAUUCUCUACCAAUGUUCCCAUUUCCUACCAUCAUGUACAUUUAUUAAAAAAAAAAAAUACUUUUAACAUCUAUUAUUUUUUAUUUUUGACGUCACAGAAAUCACUGAUCUCAUUCAAAUCGACGUUGAAAUUAAAAACAAACGUUUAAACAUUGAUCAUUCGACGUCCCUUGGGAACAGUUACUACAACACAUGAAGAUUCAAUUAACCAAUUUCAAAUUAAAAUCAAGCAACAUUUGACAAGUGUUAGUAUACGACAAAUGUAAUGUUACUGUUUUCUUUUUUAAUUUUGAUUAUAUUUAUAAUUUACCCUUAUUUAAAAAGCAGAAAAUAUUUUCUUGUUUGUUGGAUUGGGCGACUUUUAUGUUGGAUUGAUUAUACUGAGAAAGAAUCGGUAGUCCUAAACAGAAUCUCCUUGUUUGUUGUUUUCAUUAUAAUCUAAUGUUAUAUUGCUUAGCUUCGUUUGUUUAAUUAAUGUUAAUUAUGUUAGUGUUUUUCGAGGAAUUCGGACAUCUUGGUGUCCAAAGCUUGAGAGGUUGAGAAUGGUAUAUAAUGCAGUUUUCGUUGUGGUGGUUGAUGAAGCAGCCACCGAUUUUCUAACUUUUUUAAUUAGUAUUAAAACGAAAACAAUACAUGUCAUCAUUUUAUAACAUCAAUAAUAAUUAACAUCUAAAUAUUUAUUUAUUUUAUAAAAAAUAAAAUAUAUUAUUUAUUUAUUAUUAUUAUUAUUAUUUCUUUAAAUUAUUAUUCAAUAAGAAAUAUAUAAAUAAAUAUUUUUAAUUCAUUCAAAAAACAUUUCAUAUUAUUUUUUAAACAUUAUAAAAGCAAUUUUGCAAUCUUUAUUUUGUAUAUAUUAAAACUUUAUUUUAUUUAUCACAUCACUUAAAUCAUUCACAAACUUUCAUCUUCAAAUCUUUUCAAAGAAACAAUAUCAACUUUACUUCUAAAUUUACUCAAAUCUUUACUCUAUCUUAAAUCCAUCUUAUUGAUCCUAAAACAACCACUAAAAUAAUUUUUUUGCUGUAUAAAUAUUUUUUAUUUAAUUAUAUUAGAAAACAUAAACAGAAUUUCGCAAAUAUUUUCAUAACUCUUUUUAUACAUUAUGAAUAUAUUUUCUGUAAUCUUAGAGAUGUUCUAUAAGACAAAAACAACAUCUGUGUUAAAUGCAACAAAAAUAUGUUUUUAAUUAUAAGAUUAAGUCAAUUCGACGUCACUUGACUUCAGUUAAAUGGGAGAGUUGAUUUCAAUGUGUUACUUACAAUUAUUUUUUUAUNGAUAUUUUGUUAAAUAAGUUAAUUUGUGUAUUAAUUAAAUAUCUUUAGUUUUAAGAGGUCAACCUCCCUACUCAACUCAUUUGGCCUCAUACUCAAUUUUAGAGGUCAACUUUAAUAUUAAUUAUUUGUCAUAUUUAUAAAUUUCUUUCAAUAAUAUUCUUACAAUUUUGUACUAAGAGUUUUAUGUAAAUAUUUGGACAUAAGCAAUUUUGACGUUGGUGAAUUGUUUUAUCUAAAUUUGCUCUUUGGAAAAAGUUAGAAUAAAUUGAAUAAAAUAAUGUAAUUGGUUUGGUGAUUGAUAUCGUAAUUUGAAGACGUGAUAGUAGAAAGUAAAAGAAGAAGAAGAAAGCGGAAACUUAUAUAUUUGAUCACAUAUAUAUUAUAUAAGGAGAUCAUGAUAAAAGAAGUCACAUAAACAUUUUAUUCAAAAAAGAGAAGAAAAAGUUGGAAGAUGGAAGAAAGGAAAGAUGGUAGGUAGUCCUUCAUCCAAUAAGGGUGGAAUAGAAGGAGUGUAAAACAAAAUAAGAAAGAAAGAAACAUUGGAAUAUGUGACUGACAGCGGGGAUGAUAUCAACCUUUAUAGUCUAAUGUUGUCUAAUACUCUUAAGGUUUGAGUUCACAGAUAUCAUCCACAAUUAAUGUUACGGGAAUGUCCACAAAACCAGUGGGAAAGGACGUGGACAUGGGGGAAACAAUGACGCCAGCACUAAGGGCAUCAUAAAGGCAAUCAAGAGCUUGUGAAAUAUUCAAGUCCAUAAGGGAGGAGCAGCAGGAACGAAAGCGGGGUGAGGGAGGUGCAACAGCCUCUAAAGCAUCCAACAAACUCAUAGGAGGAGUGGGAAUGCAAUGUUCAGUACCAGGAAAGCAGAAUGGCCAAGGUUUACGCGCCACAUAAGCAACCAACAAACUCGUACAUGAACUCAACUCUUCCACUGCAAAAGUUUUAGGACAGUCACUUCGAGACCUCACCAUUGAGACCGAUACCAGACUCAGAGAGAGGAAGACUGCCAAAACAUAUUUCAUCCAACCCAUUCUCACAACACUACUUCCUUUCUUUUCUUUUUUAUUCUCAAUCUUUAACAACUCAACAACAAUGCCCUAUUUAUAGAUAACCCUUUCCCUUCAUUAUCAAAAAUAAUACUUUUUUAACUUAACAAACAAAUUCAUUCAAUACUCCUUUUCUUCUUACUCUAUUAUCAUCAUUUUUUUCGAUUUCAUCUUAUUAUUGUAUAUGUUGUAAAAUUCUUCAUCUAACAUCAUAUUAUUAUAAAAUUAUGAAAUACCAAUAAUAAUCAUAUCAUUUCAUUUCAAAAAUAAAUAUUCAAUUAAAAUAUUUUUUUAAAUACUUAAUACACCAUUAAAAUUUAACUAAAAAGUUCUCAAAUUAAUUAUUAAUUACGUUGUGUGCCGUCUUCUCACUACCAGUUUUUCUUAAGGUAAUAAUUCCUAUUAAUUAUUUUUUCUGAAAAGAGACUACUUUUAAAAGAGCUCCUAGUAUUUACUUUCGCACUAUGUAGCGUUUUCAUAAUUUCGCUCUUACUCCAUUCGUGCAUAUUCCCUCGGUUGUAUUUGCUUUCGCACUAUGUGUCGCAUCUUGUGUAUUGGCAAGUGGAGUGGUGUAUUCGAUUUCAUCUCCAUGGUAUUCGGUUCCUCAUUCAUAAAUUUUUGUGUAUUCGUAGCAACUAUGAGACGAUGAUGAUGAAAGAGAGCUCUGUACAUCUAAUAUUUACUUUUAAAUGUCACUUAUCAUAUAAGAUAUAUAAUAUUAAAAAAGUUUAUACAAAAAUAAAUUUAUAAGAAUAGCUCCAAAAAAUUCCGUGGAAAAAUAAUUUGUAUAUAAUAUCAGAAAUAAUUAUUUUUAUUACAAUUUGUUUAUAAUAUGAGAAAUAAUUUGUUUAUUAUAUUUUAAAAAUAAUUAUUUCAAUUUACUAAAUUAUAAUUUUUUAAUAUUUUUAAAAUUAAUUUUAAUAAUUAAUUUUAAUUUUUUUCUCUUUAUAAAAUUUUUUAUCAUUAAAUAUAACAUUAAUAAUUAUUACUUUAUAUUAUUUUUAUAGCUAGGGAUAUUUUUAUUAAUCUUCAAUUUUUAUUAAUUAAACAAUUUUUAUCUGUCACAUCGGUCAAAUCUUAUAUUAAUUAUCACAUUCAAAUUCACUCUCACUCAUCUUCAAAUCCACUCAAAAAUAACUAUCAAUUUAUCCUCAAAUUCAUUUACUCAUUCUCUUUCAAAUCAAUCUUUUAAAGCGAACACAAUCUUAAAUAUGGUUAUCAUAAUACAAUAACAUUCAAUUUAGUUCAUUUCAAACUAAAAUUUGACAAAAUUUAACAUUUUUAACACAUUAAAAGAUGUUACAUGUUGCCUUUUUCUUUUUUCUAAUUUUUUUUUACAUUUACUAUUUAUCCCAACCUUAAAAGCAUAAAAAUAUUUUAGCACAAUUCAAAAAAUAUUUAGGAUCACAUAUUAUAUAUCAAAACUAAAAUUAUUAACAGAAAAUAUAACUACUAAACACUAAAAUUAUGAAAAUUAAAACUAUUAAGAUAAAACUAAAAUUUCCAUAAUUAAGAUGUUAUCCUAAAUAUUUUUCAAACAAAAACCUAAUGUUAUUGGAUGUCCUGUUCUGACAGUUAAAUUUAUCAUAACUUAACUUAAUUAUUAAUUAUGUUGGAUGUCGUGUAUGACUGCCAAUUUCAUAAUGAGUUUUUCAUAAGAUAAUAACUCCUAGUAAUUUGCUUAAAAAAUAUUCAUUCUUAAUUAUUAAUUAUUAGGCUUAAUAUUUCUUUUAGUUUCUUGAAAGACGUGUUGUGUUCAAAAUAGUUCUAUCUUUUUUAAAAAGUAAUAAAUAUUCUAAUUUUUUUAAAAAAUAAGUUAAUCUUUUUUGUUUACGCGUCAAAAAUUAAAUGGUGCAGUUGUCCCCUUGAACAAAACUUGAUGAAUUGUCCAUUUUUUUCUCAUACGUGACACAACUUAAGUAAUAUGACAUGUCAAUCACGACCAACUACCAUCAUCUUCUCCGCUAGAAUUCCGAAAUCACAGCCAGCCACCAUAACUAAUGUUCAUCUCCUUCCUUGCAAUUCAACCACAGUGAAACUUGUAAUACCAAAUCUACGAUCAAAUCGCGCAUCUCCUUCACCACAAAAUUAUCUAUCAACCUAAAGCAAAGACGCAAUUGCGAAUGAUCAUUUGGCUGUGAGGAAGGUGACGGGUUUCGCUGUGAGGAAGGCAGAGGAAGAGCGGUUGAUAGCGUCUUUGAGAAGAUAGGCCGCUUUGAGAUCGGUUUCCUUGUCGAUGACGUGGUCGAGGCUUUGAGAAGACAGUACCAAUGCCUCCGUUCAUGGUGGCUGGCCAUGAUUUCGAAAUUUUGGCAGAGAAGAUGAUUGGCUGGCCGUGUUUGACACCUCAUAUUACCUUAGUUGUGCCAUGUACAAGAAAAAAUGAACAGUUCAUCAAGUUUUGUUCAGCAGAUUUGAUGUUGUAAGCAAAAAAGAUUAACUUGACUCAUUUUUUCAAAAAUUAAGAUCAUUUGUUAUAUUUUAAAAAAGAUAAGACCAUUUUGAACAACUCUUCUUUCGAGAGAGAAAAAAAAAAGGUACUAAGCCUAAUUAUUAUUAGAGCUCCUAAACAAGUAAAAGCUCUAAUAAUUAUUUGUUUAAUUGUAUAGCCCACCUAGUGUCGUAAAAUUAGACCCACCCCUUUAAGUUCUAAUAAUCAUUUUAUAUUAGUAUUUAAGAUUGAAAAAAAUCUAUUAAAACUACUUUUCGGGUGUUCCUUUGUUUACCCUUGAGAAAUCAAGACAACCCUUCCCAUUAAUUAUCACAAAAAAUUAGACAACACUUCUUUUCUUUUUUACAUUCUUAACAAACAAAUUCAUGUAAUAGUAUUUUUUAUAUUAUAUAAUAUUAUAAUAACAAUAAUAUAUUAUAUAAAUAAAUCAAUGACAUAAUUAAUUAAAGUUAAUUUAUUAACAUUUACGAUAGCAUUUAAUAAAAUUAUGUUAUUUCUUUUUAAAUAAAAGUAUAUCAUAAUGGUGUAUACAAUUUCUCAUACUUACAAAAUAAAGUCAUUAAAUUAAAAAUAAAUUUGAAUUAUACAACCUUUAAUGUGAAUAUUUACUGUAGAAGAGCUGACCAAAGAAUUCUGAAUAUAAACCUUAAAAAAUGAUAUUGUGUGGCGUGUCCUACCUGCGAGUUUUAUAAUGAAUUUUGGUACGAUAAUAGUUAGUACAAUACGUUACAUUGAAACCAACCAUUAAUUAGUGAUUCCUUCUUAUGAAUGGUAAUAUUGCCCCGUCUGUCCCGUUUAAACUCUUUAGUAUAUUGAAACUCUGUAAAGUAGUGUAGGUCGGCCCGCUUCAAUUAAAAAUUGCUGACUAAUUUUUUUAACUCAUUUCACUUAACAUUAUACUCACGUUUGCAAAUCUGCCCGUAAAGAAAUUACAUCUUUUUUUAUUUUCUUACUUAUUAUAUAACAUAAUAUGAUUUUAAUACUUUUAUUUUUAUUUAAUUAAAUUAGUUAAAAUAUAAAUUUUGUAAGCCUAUUUUUUAAAAUAAAAAUAUUCAUAAUUUUAAUAAAUACAAACAUGCUAAAAAUUUCAUAACUUAACUAAAUUAAUAAUGAAAACUAAAUUUUAAGUAAUUAAGAUUAUCAAAAAUAACCGAGAAAUCGAAAACCCUUUUAAUAAAACUUAAUUAAUCAAAAAAUCAAUACAAUAUUCAUUUUUUUGGAUACAUCAUAAGUUAUAGAUACAUUUUAAAACAAAUUUUCCUACAUAAGAUAUUGGGGUCAGCCUAUUGUGCUAUGUGGUUGACUCGCCCAGGCUACAAAUUAUAUGAAAGAGACUAAACGAAGUAACAAACCAAAAUACUUUACCUUCCCUCACACUUUUUUUUUUUAAUUAUAAAUCAUAUUUUAAUUUAUUUUAAUUAUCAUUUCAAAAUCUAUUUAUGAAGAUAAGAAAUUUGUGCACACUACACAUCAUCUCAUGCAUUUAGAUAUUUAAUCCUUCCAUAUAAUGUUUCUAUACAUUAAAUAAUAAAAUAUAUUUUAAUCUAAAAUUUUUAUAUUUAAUUACUUAAAUAUAUAUAAUGUUUUAUUCUCUCUUAACUUAUCUCUAUUUAGAUCACAUCGAGGCCUCUCAUACCUACCUCAUCAUUAGAGAUGGCAAAAAAAUUUAUGUAUGUGAAUAUCUGUGUAUAAAAUCUGAGACGAAUAGUUAGUUUCAACAUAUAUUUACUACUUGUGGAUUGCGGGUAACGGAUAUUUUAAUUCAUAACAUAAACUCAGUUAAUUUUUUAAAGAGGUGCCUAUAGAAUAUAUGAUUAGAUUUGUAUUUUUCGGUGAAAAAUCUAAGUUAAUUCACAACAGAGUUUAAAUUUAAAUCUAUUACUUAAUAACAAAUUUAAAAAACUCAAAAUAACAUACUUAGAAAGCUUAUUAUUUUGUAUGGAUUUCAUUUUAUUUUGUUGAAAGAACAACAUUAUUCUUUCAAUACAAUUCUCUAUAAAUGUAUACAAUGCUAUAUGUUCUUAAACUCCGUGUGAGUUCUAUUUUGUUGUUGGUACGCAAUCCUUCCUUUUUUUGUUAUUUUGUUGUUCGAUUGGUUAAAUUUUUUCUUGUGUUACAUAUAUCAUGCCAACGAGCUAGAACAGACCAACCGACAAUUAAUGUUGUAACAGAGAUCGGUUUUCAAAAGAAAAAAUCUCUUUAACGAUUCUUUUUUAACAACUUUUUUAUAACGGAUAUGUGGCAGCUUAUGAUUGGUUCAUUUCAAAUAUUUUUUUAAAAUAAAUUCAAACAGACAAAUGAAAUGGUGACACGUGUUCUGUUAUAAAAAAAGUGGUUAAAAAGUGUGUUAAAAUAUCAUCUUCCAUUUUCAAAAGGCUCUCAACCAGGCGACAGAUAAUAGCGUCCCUUUGGAGGAGGGAAAGUUUGAUGUGCAAAAGGCCUUCUAUAAUGGGAACUAAUGCACAUCCAGAACAUACCCAAUGAAGAUGAUUUCGUUGAAGACGGUGCUGAGAUUCCUCCUCCUGAUCACUCUGAAGCCGCUCAAGAUAUCACUUCCCCACCUGAAUCAUAGUUUUUUUUUAUUUUAGUAGAGUUGAAUCGAUUUUUUGAUUUUGCUUGCUGGUCGAUCGUAGUAGGAUAAACGUCUUUUUUACACAACUCAGUUUGAAUUAUGAAACGUUUACUUGCUUGUUCAUUCCUUUUUUUUUAAGUUCUUGCACUUUGUCAUUUACAUUUAUUCAACUCGUUCACUUGAUUAGAGUACGCUUAGGGUUAUCAUUAUCGCUUGAUCGCUGUUUAUUUUUUUACGUAGGUGUUCCCUUUCCUAUGGCUCUCUGCUUAUUUAUUCAAUGCUACGAUGAAAGGGAAAUUGGUUUGGGUGGAAAUAAAUCAAACACAUUAGUAUGAGUAUAAAUCAAACAAUAAUCAAACAGACUAAAGGUUUCGGAAAGCUUUAGGCCUUUAGUUAAGGCCUAGUCAACAUUUCAGUACCCGAAGCAACAAAUCCCCAAGAAAUUCUUCUAUUUGACCCUUAAUCUAUUAAAGUAAUUAAUUAUAUCAUAUAUCAUGUUUUAAAUCUUGUUAUUUUUAUACAGUAUAUGAGAAACUAGAAGAUGGUUCUGCAUCCUUGUUUGGGCUGUGAUCUUGAUUAGUUUACCUCAUAUACAACUUUCUUAGUGAAUUACACAUUAAUUAGACAUGGAAACCUUAAAUUAACCUAGUUAAGUAGGAAAAACUUAUGCCUCUUUCUGUUUCUAUUAGCUAUUUCCUAUUUCCACGUGAACAACCAGCUCCUAGUCCAUGAAAAUUAACAAUCAAAAUGUACAAGACGCUAAGCAAGAACACACUAUUUAGGAUUAUUUUGGUUUGAAUAUUGAUACCAAAGAUUAUAUUUGCUUAAGUUAAUUGAGUUUGGUAUUGUUUGACUUUAUAUUUGUAUAUAGUACAUAUUGUGAUAUGUUUACAUGUAUUGAAUAUUUGAUAUUAUGUCUCUGGAAUUUUAAUUGACACGUCCGUUUGUGAUUUAGAAUGUUUAUACAAAUUUGUCUGUAUUGUUAUAUGCAGUAAAACGAUACACAAAGCUGACAUUAAAGUCUUUAUAAUUUUUACUGACGGAUUAAUUUGUAAGUAAAAUACAUCUUUGAAUUAUUAACAAAUUUAGUAUUUGUCGAUAAGUAUUUAUGACUACGUUAGUCAAUAAGGAUAUGCUUCUGAGUUCUACCAUUUUUUUCAUACAAUUUUCCAUAAACGUAUAUACAAAGUUCUAUAUAGGUUACUUAAACUCCGCGUGAGUUCUAUAUCUAUCCUUUGUAAUCCAAAAAUCUCCAACAGUAUUUUUUUUAAUCUCCAUUAUGUCAUAUUUAUAAAUAUCGUUCAAUGAUUCUUACCAAUUUUUGUGAUAAUUUUGUAUAUUAAAGACUUUUAUGAAAAUGUUUGUACAUAAGCUGUUGGAAGUCUCAUAUCGACUAAAGGUAAAGCUAAUUUAUAAUAUAUAAGUGAGGUGCAAACCUCACCUUACAAGCCAGUUUUGUAGGAUUGAAUUAUGCCUAAAACCCACUUCUAACAUGAUAUCAAAAAAAUAUGAGUAUAAAAUACGAAGCGGAUCAUUGUAAUUUGAAGACGUGAUAGUAGAAAGUAAAAGAAGAAGAUAGCAGAAACUUAUAUAUUUGAUCACAUAUAUAUAUAUAUAUAUAUAUAUAUAUAUAUAUAUAUAUAUAUUAUAAGGAGAUCAUCGUAAAAGAAGUGACAUAAACAUUUGAUUUAAAGGAAGAAAAAGGUUGGAAGAUGGAAGAAAGGAAAGAUGUCCUUGAUCCAAUAAGGGUGGAAGAAGGAAUGUAAAACAAAAUAAGAAAAAAAAACAUUGGAAUAUGUGACUGGCAACGGAAAUGAUAUCAAUGCUUGAUUCCACAGGCCUUAACAAUUGGGUUUACGAAUGCAUAGAAUUGGGCAAGUGGUGUGAAGAUAUAGUAGUCAUUGAAAAGGCAAUCAAAAGUUUGGCGACGACUCAACCCCCGAAGGCGGGAGCAGCAAGAAGAAGAGUCCCCAGUGAAGGUUUUUGUAUCUAUAAGGUAGUCUAACAGAUUGUGACAAUCCCUAACCAACUCAGUUGUAUGGACACAGUUGGUUUAGGACAUGUUUCAUUCAGACUUUCAGACCUCACCAUUGAGAGUGAUAGCAGACUGAGAGAGAGGAAGACUGCCAAAACAUAUUUCAUCCAACCCAUUCUCACAACUUAAUAUAAGUUAAAGAAGCUAAAAGUGGCAUUUUAUCCUCAUCACCAAAGUGUUUGCAGUGAUUAGGUCUUGCGUGAAAGAACAGUAAAAACCAAAAAAUGAGUCUUGUAUUGUUUUGUUUAUGAUUUUAAAACAUAUUUGGCUUCAGACUAGAGAAUGACUAACGCAAUUAUGUUUUUUUUAUGUCGGAGCUAGGUCAAUUCAUCGUCACUUAGUGUCAGUUAAAUGUCACUGGUUAUUUUUUAUGUUUUUUUUUUUUCAAAAACAAACAUUGGUGUAAGUAUUUUUGGUGUUAGUACUUUCCACAAGGUCAUACUUUUUCUCACAAACUAUGAAAACUAUCUUUUGAGACAAAACUCGUAAAAAUGUUUCUGUUUUUGCUGUUUAAUCUUUGCAGGCUAGUAUAGGAAAAAGCACCAUCCACCCCAUUUUGAUAAUAUAUGUUUAUAUAUAAGGAGAUGAUAAAAGAAGGAAAGAGAAAGUAAAUAAUGAGAAGUCACAUAAAGAUUUUAUUUAAAGAAGAAGUUUGAAGAAGAUGCAUAAAAGGAAAGAUGGUAGGUAAUCCUUGAUCCAAGGGUGGAAGAAAAAGUGUAAAAGAAAAGAAGAGGGAAAAGCGUAAAAGAAGAAAGAAAGAAACAUUCGGAUAUGUGACUGCAAGCGGGGAUGAGAUCAAGCCCCGUCGGUGAGGUUACAGGUAGUAAUAAUCUUGCCUAGGAUUACGUUAAAAUCUAUGAUCCUCCAGAUGGCGGGGACGUUGAAUACAGCGGGGACGUUGAAGAAACCUAAAAAUGCUACGGCCUCUCUUACGCAAAUUCCAGCUUGGGAGGCACUCGAAAAGAGGGAGCAGCAGGAUGGGAGUAGCCCAACAUAUUUCAUCCAACCCAUUCUUACAACACUACUUCCUUCCUUUUCUUUUUUAAUUCCAAUGAUUAACAACUCAACACCAAUGCCCUAUUUAUAGCUCACACUAACUUCUGCUUUUCCUCUUCAUCAUUUAUUUUCACUUAACCAAACUAAAACUAGAUAACCCUUUCCCUUACUUAUAAAAAAUAAUACUUAACAAACAAAUUCAUUCAAUAGUAGUCCUUUUAUUUUACUCUAUGACAUUUUUUUUUUUCGAUUUCAUCUAAUUAUUGUAGAAACAUAUCAAUAUAUUUAUGCUGUAAAAGUCUUCUAUUACCAUCAUAUUAUUAUAAAAUUAUAAAAUGCCAUAUUGUAAUGAUUAAAUAAAAUAAUAAUCAUGUCACCUAACUUAAAAAAUAAAUAAUAAAUAUUCAUCUCAUGCAUUUAGAUAUUUAAUCCUUCCAUAUAAUGUUUCUAUACAUGAAAUAAUAAAAUAUAUUUUAAUCUAAAUUUUUUAUAUUUAAUUACUUAAAUAUAUAUAUAUAUAUAUAUAUAUAUAUAUAUAUAUAUAUAUAUAUAUAUCUACACUAUCUGAGUUAUAAAAUUUUGUAGUAAAAGUUUAAAAACAUAAUUCAAGAUGAAAUAGCCUUUAUCCGUAGAUAAAAAUUAUUGAUAAUUUAAUUUAACUGAAAUCUUUGGUUUUACAGUAGAUAUCACGAGUUUUUGCAACAAAAAAAAAAAAACUAUAUAUUCAUGAUAAAACUAAGGACAUUAUAUACUUAUAAUCCUAUUUUAAUUUAUUUUAAUUAUCAUUACAAAAUCUAUUUAUGAAGAAAAGAAAUUUGUGCACACUUCACAUCUGAUGCAUUUAGAAAUUUGUGCAAAAUUAAUUUUCGUAACUUAAUUUACGUAUAAGUUAAUUUCUAAAAAGAAAUCGUACUAACGUUUUGAGAAGUUUCUCUCAAACCUAUGUAUGUAUAGUUUAAUUUCUGAAGAAAUUUCAGGAAAAAAUAUUUCAUGAUAAGUUUAGUGAUGAAAUUAUAAACUAUUAAUCAAAGCAAUACGUACAUAUUGAUUACAAUUUUAAACUAUCAUAGUAUAAUUUGUUUUUCAAUAUCACAUAUGAUAGUUUUCCUCCAAUGAAAAAAAUUAUAAAAUUAUUAAAUAUUUAUAAUUUAUAUUUUUAAAACUACUUAUAGUUUUUUUUAUCUAUGUUUAACUAAAAAUACUUUUAAUUUUCUGCAUAUAAUAAGUAUGUUUUUUUUUCUAAUUCUUUUACGUAUAAAAGAAGGAAUACAUGUUAUAUUAAAUAAAAUAAUUACAUAUUGAUUGUAUUAAUUAUUACAUCCAAGAGACAAAAAAGAAAAUGCAUGGCUACCGAACGCGAAAUGUAAAAGAGUUACGAAAUUUAGCUUUAUCACAAAAAUAACAAUUCUUAAUUGAAAAAUGAUAUUUUAACACCAUUUUUUGACAUUGUACCCGAGUCAAAAUGUGAUUGGCCGAUUUCAAAUUAGAAAAGUUGAGGCAGGAGUAUAUUUGGAAGAGAAAGACCAAAGUUUGUUUUUUUAAUUUGAAAUCGUCCAACCAUAUUUUGACAGGUGUGCAGUGUCAAAAUGGUAUAAAAAAACAGGUGUUAAAAUAUCAUUUUUCUUUCUAAACGAUUCAAUUUGAUUUUUUUGUUAGAUUGAGAUUAAUGCCUUAUUCACUAGAUACUAGUGAAUUGAUUAAAUUUUCAAUUUUUUUAAUUUUAAAGAAAACAAAAGUUUUUAUAUGUCACUAUUACUUGCUGUCAAUAUUAGUGUUUCUUUUCCAAAUUUAUAACUUUGAUUCAAUUUAUUUAUUUUUUUAAUUUUCUUAUUUAUAACUUUGAUUCAAUUUAAUUUUUUUUUUUAAUUUUCAUAUUUAUAACUUUGACUCAAUUUAAUUUUUUCAAUGAAAUAAUUUAGUUUUUCUUCAAUAUGAAACUAAAUUAACAAUUAAUAUUAAUUCCAAUUUAGAUAUAUAUGAUGAAAUAUAGGUUAAAUAUAUGUUUUAGUCCUCAUAUUUGUUCCCCAUCAAUUAGGUUCUCAUGUUUUUUUUUGUCCCAAUUGCAUCCUAAUAUUUGUAAAUUUGAGGAAUUAAGCCCUCUCUGUUUUUUUUUUGUCCUAAUUGCAUCAUAAUAUUUGUAAAUUUGAGGCAAUUAAGCCCUCUCAAUUGGCCUACGACGUGUGGCCAGUUAAUGGAAAGGGCUUAAUUGUCUCAAAUUUACAAAUAUUAGGAUGCAAUUGGGACAAAAAAAAACAUGAGGAACUAAUUGAGAAUGGAGAACAAAUAUGAGGACUAAAAGAUAUAUUUAUACAUAUGACCCUCUAUUAAAAAUUGAAAUUAAUUUUUUAAUUUUUAUGUUUUUACAUAAAAAAUUCCUUAGAUAAACUUAUAUUUUUUUAAAAAUAAUAAAAAUAUAAUUGUAAAGUUAAAAAAAUUUAUCACAUUAAACAUUUAAAUUUAUAUUUUUAAUUUAUUUUGAAAACUAUAAGUUUUAAUAGGGAUUUCUUGUAAAAAUGUAAAAGAUAAAUUAAUUUAAAUAUUUAGGUAGCAUGAUUUUAAGUGUAAUUUGAAAAAAAAUAUUAAUACGUAUAUAUAGAUUAUAAUUAGGUUUAAUUAUUUGAUCUCAUUUAAAAAAAACUGAAUUAUUCCAGAUUAAAUUAAUCAAAAUAAUAAUAUGAGAACGAAAUUGAAAAUCAAUACGGUAAUGUGACAUUUUCUGUUUUUUCUUUUAAUUAAAAAAUUAAAAAAAAAGUUAAAUUUUUUUAAAAAAAUUCUAUAACACGUAAUAUAUAUAGACUUGAUAUUAAUUUCAAUCUAACGAUCGAAAAUUAAAAAAAUUAAAUCAUUUAAAAAAACAAAACUAAAUUGAACCAAAAAAAAGCAAAAUAACGUAAUUUGACCAAUCGAAAAAAUAUGGAACAAGUCUAUAACUAAGAAAAAAAAUAAUUAUUAUUUAUCAAAAGCAAAAGAAAUAAUGGUUUAUAAUAUUUUAAAACAAAUUAAGUAAAUAUAAUUAUUUUAUUAUCGUAUUUAUGAAAAUAAUAAAUAUAUUACCUAAUUGAAUUAUGUAUAAUAAUCUAAUUGUAUUAUUAUAAAACAUUGUUUAUCUUUUUAACUAUCCUAAUUAGUUUUAUUUUCAUUUUUAGCAUUUAAAUUAUCUAUCGUUAUGGGAAAGUAUUAAAAGAGAUCUUAGAUUAUGUAUAAUUCAUUUAGAAACUAAAAAACAACUAAAUAGGUACGACAUCAUUCUCGAGAUGAACCGAGGCAAUAGACAAUCGAUCAGCCUCAUCAGUUGUGUAAUAAUCAAAAAACUGUUUAGCUUUAAAUAUCCAAUCCAAGACAUUGUGAUUAUCACAGCAUGGAAAAUCAAGCUUCACGUUUCGUAUCUGGAAGGGCGGCCGAGACGAGUUUGAAGCUCCAUGGACGAACCCUGAAGAGAACGCAUGACAUUGUAGCAGAGUCUCCAAAGCCCUAGAAAUACAAUUGAAUCUGGAAUCAUUGGCUUGCACCACUGUCUCAAUACGUUCAAAACGAGCGGCAUUCGCCGAUUCGAGUUUUGCCAUCUGAGUUUGGAGGUCUGAAUAAUAACUCUUCGUGGUUUCAGAAUGUCGUUUAAUAUCUACCUGGAGAUCUUCAAUAGUGUGUUUUCCGCCAUGGUUAAUGAAAACACCAAAUUGUUAAACAAUUAGUAGAACACCGAAUAAAAACGAAAAUGAUUGUACUGUUCUAUUGAAUGUCAUAACCAUUCACUUCAACCAAGGUGGAAGAAAAGAAAUGUACAAUCAGAGGUAAGAGAAAAGCCCACAUUAUAGUCAUAGAGGAAGAUACCAGAAUUCCCAUACCCCUCCUUCUCACUUUCUCUCUCCAUAUAACCAAGAUUUCUUACACAAAAUCCCUCAACAUUCUAUUUGUCCUAACCCCACAUUUCUGAAUUUUAAGAUUGUUAGUAACUACUCCAUCAUUUUUCAUAUUUUGCCCUUUUAUUACAGUAUUAUUAUCUUCCCUGUCAGAUUUUGUAGCUGGUGCCUUUGUUACACAGUGAUCCAACCGUGGCUUAACUAGUCUUAGCGAAUUGGUGAUCAGGUGGUUUAUAAAGUGAAUUGGUGUAUUGUGAGUUUUUGAGAUUUUUAAGGUAUAUUAUGAACAUUUUCAAGUUUGAAGUUUAUAAUUUAUGAAUUUUUGGAUAGAUUUGAUUCAUGCUGUUAGAGAAGUAUACCUGUAUUCUUUUAAAUUAUGUAUCAACUUGGUAAAAUUAUGUUUUUUUUUCCUUUUCAAAGUAAAAUCGUACAUGCUUACAUAACAUUUGACCCAAUUUAUUUAAGGGAAUUUCUUCGUGCACCCCAAUAUUAUGUUUGUUGCACCGUCGUAAUUUUAAAAUUUCAAUUAUAUCUCAUGUAAUUAUAGUUCCGGAUUGUACAAUAUGUAUCCAGAUUACAUAAUGUAAAUUUAUAUUCUGGAUUGUAUAUGUUAUUUUGUAUUCUCGAUAGUAUACUCCAUAAUGUUAUUUUGUAUUUUUAUGGUGUUAAUUGUAAUAUAAUUUUGCAUUUUAAAUUGUAUAAUCUAUAAUACAAAUUUAUAUUUUAAAUUGUACAAUUCUAAAUAAUUUGAAAGUCAAUCUUAAAUGUAAAUUACAUUUUGGAUUGUAUAAUUCAUAAUGUUAAAAAGUAAAUUUUGGAUAUUACAAUCUCUAAUGUAAAUUUGUAAGAUAAUCUGUAAUACAAAUUACAUUUCGGAUUGACGUGAAAAUUGACAUGAUAUGAAGUGUACAGUCUAAAAAUGCAAAAUUGCAUUAUCCUUUAUAUAAUCCAAAAUGUAAUUUACCAUUAUAUAGUUCGUCAUGUGGAUCAUACAAUCUAAUGUAAAUCCAAAACUUACAUUCUACUGUUUUUCAAUCUUUAAUUCUGAGAGAUGUGAAAAAAAACAUGAGUUGUUUGGGAUCAAGAAGUUGAUAGAUAUGUUUUAGUUUCUUUAUUGUCAUCAAAGGCCCGAAAUAAGGCAUGCAUGCGAGUAGAAUGGCAAAAUGUAAAUGGUGAAACCAACAUUUUUUGGGAAAAAACCAAUGAUUCAUCAGCAAAAGCAAAAGUUGUCAUCAUCUGCAUCCAAGCCCUAGGCAACAAUACAUACAAAAUCUAUUGUAUAUAAGAGAUUCUAUAUUUUUAUAGAGGUCCAUUUUUUAGUGUCCUGUUAAAUAUGGUUUGAAAAAAAAAAAGAUAAAGGUAAAAUUGACUUUUCAAGUUGCUUAAAAAAAUGGGGGUGUUGAAAGAAAUUGCCUUUAUUUAAACUAAACUAAUUAAGAUUAGUUUAGUUUGAAUGUUGAUACCAAAGACUAUAUUUGCUUAAGUUAAUUGAGUUUGGUAUUGUUUCACUUUAUAUUUGUAUAUAUUAGUAGUAUUGUGAUAUGUUUACAUAUAUUGUAAAGCUUGGAUGUUGAUGAUUGAAUAUUUGAUAUUAUGUCUAGUAAUAGACAUGUCCUUUUGUGAUUUAGAAUGUUUAUACAAAUUUGUCUGUAUUGUUAUAGGCAGUAAACGGCUCACAGAGCUGACGUUUAAAGUCUGCAUAAUUUUUACUGACGAAUUAAUUUGUAAGUAAAAUACAUCUUUCAAUUAUUAAUAAAUUUAGUAUUUGUCGAUAAUUAUCUGAGACUAUAUUAGUCGAUAAGGAUAUGUUUUUACAUCUAUAUUCGUCUAACAUCUCCUUCUGAGUUCUACCAUUUUUUUUCAUACUAAUUCUCGAUAAAUGUAAACACAAAGUUCUAUAUAUGUUACAUAAACUCGGCGUGAGUUCUAUAUCUAUCCUUAGUAAUAAAAAAAUCUCCAACACAAUUUUUUCUGAAUCUCCAUUAAGUCAUAUUAAUAAAUUUCUUUUAAUAAUUCUUACAAAUUUUUGUGAUAAUAUGUGUACAUAAGCAAUUUGGACGUAGUUGAAUUGUUUUAUCUAGAUUUGCUGUUUGGAAAAAGUAAGAAUAAAUUGAAUGAAAAAAUGUAAUUAGUUUGAUGAUUGAUAUUGUAAUUGAAAAGUUUUGAUAGUAGAAAGUAAAAGAAGAAGAAAGCAGAAAGUUAUAUAUUUGAUUAUAUAUGUAUAUAUUAUAUAAGGAUAUCAUGAUAAAAGAAGUCACAUAAACAUUUUAUUUAAAGUAAGAAAAAGGUUGGAAGAUGGAAGAAAGGAAAGAUGGUAAGUAGUCCUUGAUCCAAAGGUGGAAGAAGGAGUGUAAAAGAAAAGAAGAAAGAAACAUUGAAUAUGUGACUGGCAGCGGGGAUGAGAUCAAGCCCCGGCGGUGAGGUUACAGGCAAUAACAGUCAUUUUUGUCAAUCUACUGUAAGAUUCAGGUUCAGGGGAAGUUUUGUCAUUGCGAAUGCAACUAUAAGCUUGGCGAGGACUCAACCCCUGAAGGCGGGAGCAGCAAGAAGAAGGCUCCGCCUCAUUCACCAGUCUCUCGCACGCCGAAACCAACCCAGUUGUAUUAUUUAUAGGACAUGGCGGAGGCUGAGAUCUCACCAUUGAGACUGAUAGCAGACUGAGGGAGAGGAAGACUGCCAAAACAUAUUUCAUCAAACCCAUUCUCACAACACUACUUCUUUUCUUUUCUUUUUUAUUGCCAAUGAUUAACAACUCAACACCAAUGCUCUAUUUAUAGCCCACAAACUUCUCCUUUUCGAUUUCAUUUCACUUAACAAAACUAAAACUAGAUAACCCUUUCCCUUAAUUAUCAAAAAUAAUACUUUUUUUCAUUCUUUUUUAACGUAACAAACAAAUUCAUUCAAUACUCCAUUUCUUCUUACUCUAUUAUCAUCAUUUUUUUUUGUUAAAUAUGCUUUUGGUUCCUUAACUUUAAAAAUUGAAAUUAGUCUUUUCUAAAACUUUGGUCUAAUUUAAUCUUCCAACUUUAAAAAUGUAUGAAUUUAGUCCUUUUAACUAAAUUUUGUUAUGUUUAUUUAAUGUUGCAAGCACGUAUCAUAAUAACAUUUGGAUUGUUUACACUCUUUGACACAUAUUUGCUUCAAUGUCAACUGAGAAACACGUUCGAAACAUUAAAUAAAGUGAACAAAAUUUGGUUAAAAUGACUAAAUUCAUACAUUUAUAAAGUUGAAGACUAAAUUAGGCCAAAGUUUUAAAGAGAAACUAAUUCCAAUUUUCAAUCAAAGUUAAAGGACCAAAAAUAUAUUUAAUCCUUUUUUUUUUUAGAUUUCAUCUAAUCUAAUUAUUGUACAAACAGAUCAAUAUAUUUAUGUUCUAAAAUUCUUCAUCUAACAUCAUAUUAUUAUAAAAUUAUAAAAUACCAUAUUACAAUAAUUAAAUUCAAUAACAAUCAUAUCAUUUAAUUUCAAAAAUAAAUAUUCAAUUAAAAUAUUUUUUUCUUAAAUACUUAAUACACCGUAAAAAUUUAACUAAAAGGUUUUCCAAUUUAUCAUAAGCUUAACUUAAUUAUUAAUUAUGUUGUGUGCCGUCUUCUGACUGCCACUUUCAUAUAAGGUAAUAAUUCUCAUUAAUUUGCUUAAAAAGUGAGUCCUUCAAUGAUUAUUCGUUUUAUUGUAUAGCCCAACUAGUGUGGUAAAAUUAGACCCCACCCCUUUAUGGCUUAGAUUAAUGGAUUAUAUAUAUACAUAUUUAAAAUGUGUUUUAACUGCAUAAAUAUUUUUUAUUUAAUUAUACUAGAAAAAAUAAAUAGAAUUUUCCAAAAAUUUUCAUACACAAUUAUCAAUAUAUUUUCUGUAAUCUUAACACAGAUGUUAUAUAAGGAAAAAAAAUGGAUAUUUCAAAACUUUGUGUUGAAUCAAUAUUGCAGGGAUUUUGUUGCCAUUUAGAUUGUAUUUUUAUUUUUGGAAUGGUUGUUUGCCGCUACAUCUUAUGAUCUUCCUUAUCCUAUAGUUCAUCCGUCCUGUCUAAUAACAUCUCCUUCUGAGUUUAUGUGUCUUUUGUUUUAUUGCAAGAACAACACUAUUCUUCCAUUCUUUCAAUACAAUUUUCCAUAUAUGUAUACAAAGUUCUAUGUUCGUGUGAGUUUUAUAUCUAUCCUCAAUAAUCCAAGAAUCUCCCACGUAUUAUUUUUUCUGAAUGACCAUUAUGUCAUAUUUAUAAAUUUCUUCCAAUAAUUCUUACAAAUUUUUGUCACCAUUUUGUACAAAAACUUAUGCAAAUGUUUGGACAUAAGCAAUUUUGACGUAGAUGAAUUAUUUUAUCUACAUUUGCUGUUUCAAAUAAGUUACGAUAAAUUGAAUAAAAAUAGGUAUUUAUUUAAAAUGUUUUCACUUAACCACACUAAAACUAGUUUACCCUUUCCCUUAAUUAUAAAAAAUAAUACUUAUUUCCAUUCUUUUAACUUAACAAACAAAUUCAUUCAAUUCAAUAUACCUUUUAUUCUUACUCUAUUAUUAUAUUUGUCUGGAUCGAAUGAGAACUAAUGAUUUUAAAGUGAUUUGAUUUUCAACUUCUUUUUCUUUUUUUCAUCUGUUAUUUCUUUUGUUCCGUUCAGUUUGAGUCGAUCCUCCUUCAAUCUAUAACCAUUUAGAUAAUACUUACAAAGGUAUUUCAAUGUUUAAGUUUAAAAGGAUUAGUCACUCCAGUGUUAUACAACAAUUAAUUAUCAUAACUUCCUUUAUUCUUUUAAUUUACCAAACAAAUUCAUUCAAUUCAAUACAUUUCUUAUUCUUACUCUUCAUUUCAAACUAAAUUUGGAAAAUACUCAACAUUUGUUAAUGCACUAACCAACCUUAAAAUUUGUUUUUUUUUUAAUUUUUAUUAUAUUUAAAAGUUUACUUUUAUCUGAAAAUAGAAAAUUUUUCACUACAACUCAAAAAAUUAACCAUUACAAAUUAAAUAUAAAAAAUAAAGUUAUAAACACAAAAUUUAAAUAUUAACUUUAAAGCUAUCAAAACUAAAACUAUUAAAACAAAACUAGAUUUUUCAUAAUUAAAAUUUUGUCCCAAACAAUUUUCAUACAAAAUGCUAUGUUAUAGUGGGUCCUAACUCUAUCGUUUGAGUCCAUACGUUGUCCACUCUUGUCUUAUUUUCUUCGUAGUGUCAUCUGUUAUAAGUGAUGAAAUUUUGAACUGUUGAAAAAACACAACUUCAUAAUAUAUGAAUAUUAUUAUUUAAAGUUUGGUUGAUAGAGAUCCUCCCCAUAUAAUGGUCUUAGAAUGAAAAUGGAGAAAGAUAGACUAUUUGUGGUGCUCCUUUACUCUCUUAUUAAGUGUGUGUGUGUGACUUUAAAAAUCUAAUAUUGAUUAUGUCAUACUUUAACCCACACACAAGUACUGUAAUAUUAUUUUUGGUAUUUUUUUAUGUAACAUUUUAUAAAUAAAUGAUCCAUACUUUUUUUUUUUAUGUAGCUUUAGUGUUAAUUGUAACAUUUUGUGUUUUAUAAUUUAUAUAUGUGAAACUUUCUGAAUUGUUCUAGAGCAUUUUCUAUUAUUAGAAAUAUGAAUAUAAUUUCUCAUACUUACAAAAUAUAGUGAUUAAAUGAAAAUAUAAUUUGAAUUAUACAACCUUUAAGGUGAAUAUUUAGUAUAGAAGGGCUGAUCAAAUAAUGUUAAACAUUAAAAAAUUAUAUUGUGUGGCGUGUGCUACAUGCGAGUUUCUUCAUAAUGAAUUUUGGUACGGUAAUAUUUAAUACAAGAGGUUACGUUGAAACCAAUCAUUAAUUUGCUUAAAAAGUGAUUCCUUCUUAUGAAUGGUAAUGUUGCUCCGUCUGUCCCCUUUUGGACUCUUUUGUACAUUGAAACUUUAUGAAGUAGUGUAGGUGGCCCGCUUCAAAUAAAAAUUGUUGACUUAUUUUUUAACUCAUUUCACAUAACAUUUUACUCAUGUUUGCAAAUCAAUAAUGAAAAUAAAAAAUAUUCAUAAUUUUAUUAAAUAUAAACAUGUUAAAAAUUUCAUAACAAUUAACUAAAUCAAUAAUGAAAACUAAAUUUUAAGUAAUUAAAAUGGCCAAAGAUAUUGAUAAUGCUAAUUCUUACCAUUAUCUAAGCAUCAUUUUAGUAGCAAAAUCAACUCCUUUCUAGUUUGUAACUUGCUUAAUCCUCUUCUUUUGUCUUGUUUUCUUAAUAAGUGUGUUUUAGGCUACAUUGAUGUAACUUCAUCACUAACCCCAUUAUUUUGUAGCUAAAUAUAUGCUUGGAAGAAUCUCCAUCAAUUUAAAGAGCUUAAACAGCCAUAAAAGCAAGUAGAACAGCAAAAAAGGAGAGUUUUGGAAUGUUCCCGCUGGGCUGCCGCUAGGCUACCGCUUGAGCGCCAUGUCUCUGGAAUGUUGUCGCUGAGGUACCGCUGGGCCACCGCUGGGCUCUCUGUCAUUGGAAUAUCUGGCGCUGGGCUACCGCUUGAGCGGUAGUUGAGCGCUCUGCUCUCGGGAAGGCUACUGCUGGGCUACCGCUUGAGCGGUGACGACACUAAUGUGGCAGAUCUGGUCUAUUUAGACCUGAAACACGAAGAGAAAAGGGUCUUUGGUUCUUUGGAGGUGCGAUUUCACUGUUGGAGCUCAUGGAGGGAGCUUGUGGGAACAUCUCCUCCUCUUCCUUUGGGUCUCCUUCUUCUUCCAUCUUCCAUGUUUGUGAGCUUUAGGGUUCUCCAUGGAAGUGGAGAACCAUAUUCAUCUUGUUAGGGUUAGAUGUAGCCUAUGAACUCUUGUGUAAUGAAUGAUUGAUUCGUAUUUAUAUAUGCCUUUUCUAUCUAUUACUAGUAUUCCUGUUUUCGAUCUUAAACCUUGCAUGUAAUGGGAAUGUUCAUGACUUGAUUUUGGGAUUUCAUUGAUUAUGGGGACGUAAGAUGGAAUCUUGAACUGAAACAAGGGUCCUUGUGGUCAUUGAUUCUAGGGAUGGAAGAUGAUUCACAUGUUGUCUUAAGAUUCUAGCUCAUUAAUGAGGGUUUCCUUGUUAGAUUGUCCAAGGGAUUGGAGUUUAAUAGGGAAAACCUAGGCUCUUUCACCUAAGGGAUUAGGGUUAGAUUGUUUUAGUGGAUUGACUUUAGUAUAUUGAUGGAAAGGAGAUGAAAAGUGGGUAUACACAAGAGUGAAUUGGUGAAAUCUAAUAUUAACAUUGACAUUUCAUUCCAUUUCUAGUCUUUUCCAUUUCUAAGUGCCAUCAAUACCAAAGUCCAACCUUGUAAUUAUUUGUGAAUUUAUCUCUUUGCACAUAUUCUUAAAUGACGAGUUGUUAUUGAGUCUAGAUGAGUUGUUAAUCGCACAAUUUUCUAGUAUUACGAGUCUCUUGGGAAAACGAUACCUGGUUGCACACUUGCUAAUGAGUCAACAAGUUUUUGGCGCCGUUGCCGGGGACUCGUGUCAAUACUAGACUUUUGUGAGGUUUCUAACUUGUGUAGACUUGAUUUUGUAUAUAGAACUAACUCUUUCAUUGUAAAUAGAUUUUCACUUUUACUUGGGCUAAUUUGUGGCUUUAGCCUAGUUGUGUCUAAGUGUAUGCAGGGGGAUGUUCAUACAAGGAGGACUGCAGCCUCAAAAACAUCAUGUAAACCCUGGGAUAGAAGGAAUUAUAGUCACAUAAGGAGACAACAAGGUUGAGCACCACAAGUUUCCCAAAUUCUCCCUUCUUUGAGGAUGCUCCAAGUGCUUCAUUGAAAGAAGAAGAAGAAAGGGAGAAGCAAAAGAGAAAGCUUAGUCAUCACCACCCUUUAAUAAGAGAUAAAGAACUCAAGCCUUGCAAGCCAAAGUUAAUCAAGAGGAUUGAGUGUUUAAAGAUAUCAAGGCAGUGGAAGGGUUAAGAUGAAGAUUUAUAUGCUUGGAGAGUUGAUUUGGUGGCUAGAAAGUGGUUUAAGAAGAAUUGGUGAAAAGAGCACACCAACAACAAAAUAUGCACUUCAUUGAGUAAUUCGUCAAGCUAAUGACGUGAAACAAGCGCUUUUGGGAGGCAACCCAAUUUUCUUCUCCUCCUACACUUCAUUCUUCACCUAGAGAGAUUGGGAGAGGCCCUUGGAGGUUGUUUGGGGUGUUGGGAAGCUUUCCCACUCCUCCUUGGGUCUUCAAGCUUCAUCAAUGGUGAUUUGCCCCUUUUGGGGUUAAGGAAGAAGAUGGGUCACGAAUUGAAGAUGGAAUUGCGAAGGGGAGGCGCACAUGGAGCAUGGAGCAGCUGCCAAGGACCUUGGGAAAGACUUUGCAUCUUCUCUUUGGUUCCAAUUUCUUCCCUAUCUCUUCAAUUUUGUAGAACCCUAAAUUCUCCACUAUGGAGAGUUUUUCCUAUUUGUUGAGAUUAGAUGUAAUAAACUGAAUCUUGUGUAUUUUGUGAUGUUAAUACAUAUGCUUUUACAUUUCAAUGUUAGUAUUUGAUUUCUAUGCUUAAUGCUUGUUGUGGCUUGAUCACCCAUGGCUUGAAUUAUAGUUCUUGAUGUAUUGAAAAAUAUGACUUGAACUUAGAACUGAAAUUGAAUACUUAAUUGAUGGAAUUGAGUUGUUUGUAAAUGCAUGAGAAUGAAGUGGAUGAACUCUAGUCUUAACAAAUUGUAAAUACACUAUGUUAAAUUUCUUGCACACCAACUGUUUGAUAAAAUACCAAAAAGGGUUUCUUGUGGUUUUUAUGCAUUUUUAUGUCUAAUUGAGCUAUGGAAGGAAGAGUUGUGAUGUGUUGCACAAGUCCCUUGGGAGAGAACGAUAUUUAUCACUUGCUACGCUGCGAUCGGUGCACUUGCCGUUGGUUUUGCAGCCAACAAGUUUUUGGCGCCGUUGGUUUUUCUUGGGUGAGGACUGGUUCUACAUAAUUGAGUAAAGCAUUUUGUCAUGAUCAUUGAUCUCUUUUAAACAUAAGGCAUUUGAUUGAUUGAAUGUUUGAUGAGCAUCACAGUGGAAGACUAAUCUGUUACACAUUUCUAGUCAUUUCAAGCUAUGUAAGUGUUGUGGGUUCUACUGUGUCUGUGAAAAUAUUUUGUGUUAUAGCCAGAUACCUUUUUCUUGAGGACAAGCAAGGUUCUAAGUUUGGGAGUGUUGAUAAGGACAUAUUUUACCAUGAUUUCAGUAAUGAUUUAAGAGAAAAUGUCAACUCUUCCUUGGCUUUUUACCUUGUAAAUUGUAGUUUUCUCUUAGUUUGUUAAGUGGUUGCAUUUUAAGCUUUAAUGAAAUAUAUUUAUCAUUAAUCCCUGCCUUUAGGUGCUUACAAUAGUUGGAAGAAGCCUAUGCAUCAAAUGAAGGCACUGAAACCCAAAGAAAGCAAGAAAAACAGCAAAAAAAGAUUUGAUUUUUCCAAAAAUUGACAUCGAAUGGGUGACGUUAUAAAUAUUUUUCAUACUUUUUUCUCAAUCAUAAGGACAUACUUUUUCCCUAAACUAUAUAUUGAAAACUAACUUUUGAGGUAAAACUCGUAAAAAUAGGAAACACCCUACUAUUCUUCAUGUUUGUGUUUUUGCUUUUUAAUCUUUGCAGGCAAGUAUAGGAAUAAGCACCCUGCACCCCAUUUUGAUCUCUCAUUUCAACAUAAAUCAAAGAUGGGAAAGCUUGCAAACUAUACUAAUUUGAGAGAUGAAAUAGACGUGGUAGUAGAAAGUAAAUAAGAAGAAAGCAAACUUAUAUAUUUUAUCAUAUAUAUAUAUUUAAAAAUUAUGAAAGAUCUGGAAUAUAAAUUGUCCCGUGUAAUAAAUAGACAAUCUCGCAGUUUGUGUAGGUUAAAUAUAUAUGUUAGGAAGAGUGAGCGUAAAGUUAAUAUAUGGUAGUUUCGUUAGAGUGAAUUAAUUAUGUCAUGAUUGUUGUGUGUGUGAUAAGGUGUAUGUUAUAUAUAAGGAGAUCAUAAAAGAAGGAUAGAAGUCACAUAAAGAUUUUAUUUAAAGAAGAAGAAGUUUGAAGAAGAUGGAUAAAAGGAAAGAUGGUAGGUAAUCCUUGAUCCAACGUGUGGAAGAAGGAGCGUAAAAAGAAGAAGACGGAAAAGCGUAAAAGAAGAAAGAAAAAACAUUCGAAUAUGUGACUGGCAGCGGGGAUGAGAUCAAGCCCCGUCGGUGAGGUUACAGCUAUUAAUAAAUGCGCUUAUUUCGUCAGGUUCCGGUGAGGUCCCGACGAUGAUGAGAUCGAUUGGAAUGUGUAUGGCAUCCUCAAGGCAAAUAGUAGCUUGGUCAGCACUGAACCCCUGAAAGACGGAGCAGCAGCUUGGGGCUGCUGAACCACCCAAUAAGACAUUCACAAGACUCGACCUACAUGCACGGAAAAACGCAUCAAACCCACCAGGACAUGUCUGUUGAGACCUCACCAUUGAGAGUGAUAGCAGACUCAGAGAGAGGAACACUGCCAAAACAUAUUUCAUCCAACCCAUUCUCACAACACCACUUCUUUACUUUUCUUUUUUAUUUUCAAUGAUUAACAACUCAACACCAAUGCCCUAUUUAUAGCCCAAAAACUUCUGCUUUUCCUC
RNAcentral lists this long non-coding RNA (32745 nucleotides) under Vigna radiata. RNAcentral's name for it is "long non-coding RNA (VRAD_LNC003322)". The record is from RNAcentral. Lineage: Eukaryota; Viridiplantae; Streptophyta; Magnoliopsida; Fabales; Fabaceae.